AAUAAAGUUCGUGCGCGCCGGGAGCGGAAGCGGAAGCGGUGAAUCUCCAUGGCGGUGGCGGCGGCAGCGGCGGCGGGACCCGUGUUCUGGAGGCGACUACUGGGCCUCCUGCCCGGCCGCCCAGGGCUGGCCGCGCUCCUGGGACGCCUGUCCGACCGCCUCGGCAGGAACCGGGACCGCCAGCGCAGGAGGUCACCAUGGCUGUUAUUGGCUCCCCUGCUGUCCCCAGCUGUUCCCCAGGUCACCUCCCCACCUUGCUGCCUGUGUCCAGAAGGCGUGCACCGGUUCCAGUGGAUCAGAAACCUGGUUCCAGAAUUUGGAGUCUCCAGUUCUCAUGUCAGGGUGCUUUCUUCCCCAGCAGAGUUUUUUGAGCUCAUGAAGGGGCAGAUAAGAGUGGCCAAGAGGCGGGUCGUGAUGGCAUCCCUCUACCUGGGGACAGGUCCUUUGGAACAGGAACUGGUGGACUGCCUGGAAGGUACUCUAGAAAAGUCACUCCAAGCAAAGUUUCCUUCAAAUCUCAAGGUCUCCAUUCUCUUAGACUUCACGCGAGGCUCACGAGGCCGGAAGAACUCCCGCACGAUGCUGCUCCCACUUCUGCAGAGGUUCCCAGAGCAGGUCCGAGUCUCCCUCUUUCACACACCACACCUCCGCGGGCUGCUCCGGCUCCUCAUCCCUGAGCGCUUCAACGAGACCAUUGGCCUCCAGCACAUUAAGGUGUAUCUCUUCGACAACAGUGUCAUCUUGAGCGGUGCAAACCUGAGUGACUCCUACUUCACCAACCGCCAGGACCGCUACGUGUUCCUGCAGGACUGUGUGGAGAUUGCCGACUUCUUCACGGAGCUGGUGGACGCAGUGGGGGAUGUGUCCCUGCAGCUGCAGGGGGACGACACGGUGCAGGUGGUGGAUGGGAUGGUGCAUCCUUACAAAGGUGACCGGGCCGAGUACUGCAAGGCAGCCAAUAAGAGGGUCAUGGAUGUGAUCAACUCAGCCAGGACCCGCCAGCAGAUGCUGCAUGCCCAGACCUUCCACGGCAACUCCCUUUUGACCCAGGAAGAUGCAGCAGCUGCUGGGGAUUGCAGACCGGCCCCUGACACCUGGAUUUACCCGCUGAUUCAGAUGAAGCCCUUCGAGAUCCAAAUCGAUGAGAUGGUCACUGAGACGCUGUUGACGGAGGCGGAGCGUGGCGCAAAGAUCUACCUCACCACUGGCUACUUCAACCUGACCCAGGCCUACAUGGACCUGGUCUUGGGCACUCGGGCUGAGUACCAGAUCCUGCUGGCCUCACCAGAGGUGAAUGGCUUCUUUGGGGCCAAGGGGGUGGCUGGCGCCAUCCCAGCGGCCUAUGUGCACAUCGAGCGGCAGUUCUACAGCGAGGUGUGCAGCCUGGGACAGCAGGAGCGGGUCCAGCUGCAGGAGUACUGGCGGAGGGGCUGGACAUUCCACGCCAAAGGCCUCUGGCUGUACCUGGCAGGGAGCAGCCUGCCCUGUCUCACGCUGAUUGGCUCUCCUAAUUUUGGGUACAGGUCAGUUCACCGGGACCUGGAGGCCCAGAUUGCGAUCGUGACAGAGAACCAGGCCCUGCAGCAGCAGCUUCACCAGGAGCAAGAGCAGCUCUACCUGAGGUCAGGGGUGGUGUCCUCUGCCACCUUCGAGCAGCCGAGUCGCCAGGUGAAGCUGUGGGUGAAGAUGGUGACUCCACUGAUCAAGAACUUCUUCUGAGGACAGACAGGUACCCACUCCACUGAGUCUCCAGAUGCCUGUGUUGGGGUCGGCAGUGGGCAACCCCUUCUGCUCUCCCUUCCCAGGGGGUCCUGAAGAGGCCCUGGGGCAAGGGCUCAGGGAUGAGGGGGCACAAAGGCAGACUGAGCCCCUCCAAGCUGAGCAUGCUGGUGCAGGUGAUGUAGACGUGGGAGGAGGAGAGCACGGUUGCUCGUGAGAGUGGCUCUGGCUUGCUGCCCUGGCUAGCUGCAGCCCACAGGGUGGGGCGUCGUUGGAGCCAGAUCUCGGCUGCUGCCUGGACGCCUCGCUGACAUCCCUGUGCUGCGGUUAUAGAGAUGCACCCUUCUAGACUCUGGAAGUUGAGUAUCAGGACCCUCUCUGCCCACCCAGGAGGGGUCUGCCGCUUCACCAGAGGCACCAGUGGGGUCCCACAGUCACCUGAGGUACCCCUGGGUUGUCUUGACGCCUAGAGGUCCAGGCAGGGGGUGGCUGCCAUUAAAGGUGGGGUCUUUGCUGGGUGACCCUCUUGUGUCCUGGAUUCCUCUGGGCCUGGACUGCAUUUCAGGUGGGGUCAGGCUCCCGAGGCCCCUGCGGCCCCUGCUCUUUGGGUCUGGAUGUUGGGGGUAGCUCUGUUGCUUUGGAUGAUUGGGCCUUUGGAUGGUGGCUUGUGGGGAGGGACGGUGAGGAGUCCAAGAGGAGCCAGGGCCCAUGUGGCUGGCGCGUGCCCUAAUGCUGGCGUCUCAUGUGUGCAGCAUGGGCUCCCUUAGUGCCUGCCACCUUAGUUCUCUGCUAAAUCUCAUUUUUAAAAAAUGUGUAGUUUAUCUUGCAACUUCUCCUAGUUAUUUUAAUUACUUUUAAUUUUAUUUGAAUACUAUGUGCAAAUGUAGAGAGUAAAACAAUACUGCGGCCAUUUCCUGCCCUCCCUUCCCUCAGGCAGCCACUUUGGCUUGUUUCUGAUAUGCACACGUGUCUAUUUCUAAAUAACGUGCAUAUCCUGUUAUCUUCCCCCAAAAUAUAUACUUAACCAAAAAAGCACCAGUGUCACUCCUAAAACAAAAAUUACCAAGAAUGUCUUACUGUCAUCAAAUACCUAAAUGGUGUUCACAAUUCCAGUUGCCUUAAUUUUUUCGAUUGACUUGAAGUUCAUUUAAGGACUAUACCUUGUGAUUGUUUUUGCCCUAGCAAUUUAUGUUUUGAAGAAUGAACUUUGUGUUGGAUCUACUUAAAACAUUUUUGUGUCACCUAGUAGCAGGGAUUUCGAAUACACGUCGUGUGUUUAUAAAGCCAGCUCUCCACCCCCCCAAUUCUCCAGGAGCAGCUUUCGUAACCUCAUUGCCUGAUCUCUUUAGCUUCAGGUGCUUGACCCUGGCACAGAGAGCAGCUUCCUGGGCUGCAGGGCAUGGCAGCCUUUCCUUUCGUGGAGUGAGAUUAGAUUGAGUCUCUGUAUUUUGCCUCUCUAGAAGCAGCUUCUUGCCUUUCCCUCCCGAGGGCUGGCAGCAGUCACUGUCACCCUUCAUGGGGUCUGGUUGCAUGGGCUCACCUGGUCUCAGACAAGGGCAGCUACAGCCCCCGCACCAGGCAGAACUGCAGUUUGAGUGGCUGGGGAUAGAUGGAGUGGCGGCCUGGCCACACUGCCCUGGGCAGCAGCACGUCAGAUUCUGUGGGACCAGAGUAAACAUCAUUGUGCCACAGCCCGGCUGAAGCCAUCUGCAGUGCUGUUCCCGCAGCGCACCACUGCUCCCUCUGUCUCGGCUAAUGACCUUCGAGGCUGUCUGAGGCAGGUUCUCCCCGAGGAGCUCCCCUAGACCAAGGCUCCCUAACUCUGCAGAGCAACCACAGCAACAGAGAACAGUGGGUGGUUGCCGCCGCAGUCCUCCUGGCGUUCUAGGUGCACGGGGCUGUUGUGCUCCAGUCCCUGUGUUCCCCGUCGCUGGAGUGCAGCUUAAGUGCGAAUCAUCUCUUGGAAGGUUUAGAGAUAAUUUUGUCAACUACCCACGAUGUAUAUGUGUGGAAUAGAUUACUCUUAUUUCAUGAUUUAAAGGCAAAAUGGAAAAACUUCACAUUUUGUGGUUAUUACCAGGGACUGAAGUGAGUUGCUUGGUGGCCCCUGGCAGCUUUAUCUCCCCUGGUCACAUGAAGGGCUGCAGUGACCCCUCCUGGCCAGCAGAGGUAUUGGCCCAGCCAGGCUGGGGGAGGCUGAAACUGCCUCCUCUGCAGCCCCAAAGGGGCUGGAUUCCUUCCUUGGGCGCCAGGAAGAGAGGAUCUGAGGGAUGUUUUUCUUCUCCCUCCGAUAGCCCUACUGGGCCCUAAGAUUGUUGUGAAUCAUUACCCUCAGAAUUUGGAUUUCCUAGAUGCUUCUUAACCCAUGAUUUAGGUGAGUAAACUUGGAAAAAUGUUUUUGCAAAACUUGAUCCUCAAGCUGAACUUAGAAAGACAUUCCUAGUGCGUGUGUUUGCCUUUUUUCCCCCUUUUGAGACAGGGUCUAUUCUGUCACCCAGGCUGGAGUGCAGUGGCAUGAUCAUGGCUUUCUGCAUACUUGACCUCAUGGGCUCAAGCGACCCUCCUGCUGCCUCAGCCUCCUGACUAGCCGGGACCACAGGCACAUACAAUAUUCCCGGCUCAGUUUUUGUAUUUUUGGCAGAGAUGGUUUUGCCAUGUUGUCCAGGCUGGUCUUAAAACACUCCUAGGCUCAAGUAAUCCCGCCCUCCUGGGGUUAGAAGUGUGAGCCGCUGCACCAGCCUGCUUUGCUUUGAAGCCUAAGAAACUUUGAGGGCCGGGCGCAGUGGUUCACAUUUGUAAUCCCAGCACUUUGGAAGGCCAAGGUCAGUGAAUCACCUGAGGUCAGGAGUUUGAGACCAGCCUGGCCAACGUGGUGAAACCCUGUCUCUACUAAAAAUACAAAAAUUAGCUGGGUGUGGUGGUGGGUGCCUGUAGUCCCAGCUACUUGGGAGGUUGAGGCAGGAGAAUCGCUUGAGCCCAGGAGGUGGAGGUUGCAGUGAGCCGAGAUUGCAUCAUUGCACUCCAGCCUGGGCGACAAGAGUGAAACUCUUGUCUCCAAAAAAGAAAAAAAAAAAAAAAAUGUUGAGGACCCUAUCUUGGUCCCCCUGGGAUCUAUCUUUUCUGGCGUUUACAGCUGCCUCCCCUCAUCCCCCAGGUUGCUAGUUAAUCCCCUUCCUUUGUGCCUGCACCCUGCUGCCGUAGCCAGCCUGGCCACCUCACUGCCGUGUCCUGCAUCAGCACAGCCACAGAGUCCCACAGGCCCGGCUUGCUUGUGGGAACGGCUUGUUCUUCUAGACUCUGGGGGCGGGGGCUUGGGUGUGUUUCCUUACUUGUAAAAGGUCCUGUUGUUUUUGGGAGUGGGGAGUAAUGGCAGAUGAGACGUUGUGUGGAGGCGGCAGCUCCUGUUAUGGGGUAACGCCCUGUCCCCUCAUUGGCAGGUGGUUUGCAUGUAGCAUCAGGCCAGAGGGUGUGAGUGCCAAGCCUUCACCGCACAUGCUGCUCGUGUUAAAAACAAACCCCACUGACACCCCCCCCAGGAAGUCAGGAUUUGGGGUUUGCUUCCUGGAAUGCUUGCCUCUGGCUGCUGGGAAUUGGGGCCUUUCCCCAAAGCCUGAGCCAGGCCCUACGGUGGCCAUCAGGCAUAGAAUGGAGUCAGAUGGGCACAGCUGAAUGGCUCCACUGGCUUUAAUCUGCCCCACCUCUUCCACGCCAACCUCCACCCUCUGGUUAGUUCAGAUGUGCUUGGUUACAAAGCACCUUGAUUAUUUAAGAGAACAAAAGCAACCACCAGUUCCUGUAAAGUGAAGGGCUGAGUCGUGGUCCAGCCCCGGGGAGCGUGGGCCGUGAGGCGGGGGGGGGAGCUAAACCUGCAGCAGCAGCGCCACGGCUGCCAGGACCCACUUCGCUGCCUUCUCCUUGGUCUUCAGGUUAAAAGUCCAGACGUAGGUGGGACCGCGGAUGCGUGUUUUGUACACAGGACACUCAUAGAUGUUCUUGGUCUCCAUGCGGUCCACAGGAAUGGCCUUGAUGAAGAUGACAGGCAUGGCUGGGGUCAGCUCCUUCAGCCGCGCUUCCGCGAUGACUCCAGUCUGGGUGUCCCAGCGAGCGCCUGCAGGGACAGCAUGGCUGAGGGCCGGGUGUGCGGCCAGUAAGGAAGGGAGGGGCCUCCACCCCAAAAGGCUUCAGGCCAGGUGCCACAGCAGGAAGCAGAGGCCUUCGUAGGUGAUGGCGUGCAUGUUGUAACUACCCCGUCUCGCUGGGCACAGGGAACCGCUCAGCUAAAGCCCUCGGGUUCCAUCCGUUUAAAUCUGUGGCUUUUUCAGAGCCUCAUCUGUCAGCCUUAAUGUCAGUGGCAGGAAAUCAUAACUCCAGCUAAAAUUAAAGUUCCCUGAUUCUUCA
Rhinopithecus roxellana (golden snub-nosed monkey) is the source of this 6117-nucleotide RNA transcript. It is a transcript of the gene named phosphatidylglycerophosphate synthase 1, with no coding region annotated. NCBI's taxonomy places the organism in Eukaryota, Metazoa, Chordata, Mammalia, Primates, Cercopithecidae. The record is from RefSeq and is a predicted model, not a curated record. The transcript has 11 exons.